RNAcentral lists this ribosomal RNA (1061 nucleotides) under Alkalibacillus halophilus. RNAcentral's name for it is "bacterial SSU rRNA". It matches the Rfam family "Bacterial small subunit ribosomal RNA", at positions 90 to 1138 of the family's 1533-position model. Lineage: Bacteria; Bacillati; Bacillota; Bacilli; Caryophanales; Bacillaceae. The record is from RNAcentral.
AACGAGCGGCGGACGGGUGAGUAACACGUGGGCAACCUACCUGUGAGACGGGGAUAACUCCGGGAAACCGGGGCUAAUACCGGAUAACGCAUCGAACCGCAUGGUUCGAUGAUCAAAGAUGGCUUCUAGCUAUCACUCACAGAUGGGCCCGCGGCGCAUUAGUUAGUUGGUGAGGUAAAGGCUCACCAAGGCGACGAUGCGUAGCCGACCUGAGAGGGUGAUCGGCCACACUGGGACUGAGACACGGCCCAGACUCCUACGGGAGGCAGCAGUAGGGAAUCAUCCGCAAUGGACGCAAGUCUGACGGUGCAACGCCGCGUGAGCGAUGAAGGUCUUCGGAUCGUAAAGCUCUGUUGUGAGGGAAGAACAAGUGCCGUUCGAAUAGGGCGGCACCUUGACGGUACCUCACCAGAAAGCCCCGGCUAACUACGUGCCAGCAGCCGCGGUAAUACGUAGGGGGCAAGCGUUGUCCGGAAUUAUUGGGCGUAAAGCGCGCGCAGGCGGUUCCUUAAGUCUGAUGUGAAAGGCCACAGCUCAACUGUGGAGGGCCAUUGGAAACUGGGGAACUUGAGGACAGAAGAGGAGAGCGGAAUUCCACGUGUAGCGGUGAAAUGCGUAGAUAUGUGGAGGAACACCAGUGGCGAAGGCGGCUCUCUGGUCUGUAACUGACGCUGAGGCGCGAAAGCAUGGGUAGCGAACAGGAUUAGAUACCCUGGUAGUCCAUGCCGUAAACGUUGAGUGCUAGGUGUUAGGGGGUCCAACCCUUAGUGCUGCAGUUAACGCAAUAAGCACUCCGCCUGGGGAGUACGGCCGCAAGGCUGAAACUCAAAGGAAUUGACGGGGGCCUGCACAAGCGGUGGAGCAUGUGGUUUAAUUCGACGCAACGCGAAGAACCUUACCAGGUCUUGACAUCUUCGGACAGCCCAAGAGAUUGGGUCUUCCCUUCGGGGACCGAAUGACAGGUGGUGCAUGGUUGUCGUCAGCUCGUGUCGUGAGAUGUUGGGUUAAGUCCCGUAACGAGCGCAACCCCUGAUCUUAGUUGCCAGCAUUGAGUUGGGCAC